UGAACGCUGGCGGCGUGCCUAAUACAUGCAAGUCGAACGAGGUAGCGAAUACCGAGUGGCGAACGGGUGAGUAACACGUAGGUAACCUGCCUUACAGUUUGGGAUACCCGAGGGAAACCUUGGCUAAUACCGAAUAAUUCUUUUGGAGGCAUCUCCAGAAGCUAAAAGGGCCUUUAAAGCCUCGCUGAAAGAUGGACCUGCGGCGCAUUAGCUAGUUGGUGAGAUAACAGCCCACCAAGGCGAGGAUGCGUAGCCGACCUAAGAGGGUGAACGGCCACACUGGAACUGAGACACGGUCCAGACUCCUACGGGAGGCAGCAGUAGGGAGUUUUCGGCAAUGGGGGAAACCCUGACCGAGCAACGCCGCGUGAAACGAUGAAGGUCUUCGGAUUGUAAAGUUCUGUUAUAAGGGAAGAAUGAUAACUUGAGGAAAUGCUAGUUAUUUGACGGUACCUUAUUAGAAAGCCACGGCUAACUACGUGCCAGCCGCCGC
Molecule: ribosomal RNA, 493 nt
Filed under: uncultured bacterium
Lineage: Bacteria
Description: bacterial SSU rRNA
Rfam family: Bacterial small subunit ribosomal RNA
Source: RNAcentral